Molecule: ribosomal RNA, 500 nt
Filed under: uncultured bacterium
Lineage: Bacteria
Description: partial 16S ribosomal RNA
Rfam family: Bacterial small subunit ribosomal RNA
Source: RNAcentral
AUUGAACGCUGGCGGCAUGCCUUACACAUGCAAGUCGAACGGCAGCACGGGAGCAAUCCUGGUGGCGAGUGGCGAACGGGUGAGUAAAGUAUCGGAACGUGCCCAGUCGUGGGGGAUAACGUAGCGAAAGUUACGCUAAUACCGCAUACGAUCUAUGGAUGAAAGCGGGGGAUCGCAAGACCUCGCGCGAUUGGAGCGGCCGAUAUCCGAUUAGGUAGGUGGUGGGGUAAAGGCUCACCAAGCCGACGAUCUGUAGCUGGUCUGAGAGGACGACCAGCCACACUGGGACUGAGACACGGCCCAGACUCCUACGGGAGGCAGCAGUGGGGAAUUUUGGACAAUGGGCGAAAGCCUGAUCCAGCCAUGCCGCGUGCAGGAUGAAGGCCUUCGGGUUGUAAACUGCUUUUGUACGGAACGAAAAGGUUUGGCCUAAUAAGCUGAGCUCAUGACGGUACCGUAAGAAUAAGCACCGGCUAACUACGUGCCAGCCGCCGCAGUAA